Molecule: ribosomal RNA, 826 nt
Filed under: bacterium
Lineage: Bacteria
Description: bacterial SSU rRNA
Rfam family: Bacterial small subunit ribosomal RNA
Source: RNAcentral
ACGAACGCUGGCGGCGUGCUUAACACAUGCAAGUCGAACGGAAAGGCCCAGCUUGCUGGGUACUCGAGUGGCGAACGGGUGAGUAACACGUGGGUGAUCUGCCCUGCACUCUGGGAUAAGCCUGGGAAACUGGGUCUAAUACCGGAUAUGACCAACUGUCGCAUGGUGGUUGGUGGAAAGCUUUUGCGGUGUGGGAUGGGCCCGCGGCCUAUCAGCUUGUUGGUGGGGUAAUGGCCUACCAAGGCGACGACGGGUAGCCGACCUGAGAGGGUGAUCGGCCACACUGGGACUGAGACACGGCCCAGACUCCUACGGGAGGCAGCAGUGGGGAAUAUUGCACAAUGGGCGCAAGCCUGAUGCAGCGACGCCGCGUGAGGGAUGACGGCCUUCGGGUUGUAAACCUCUUUCACCAGGGACGAAGCGUGAGUGACGGUACCUGGAGAAGAAGCACCGGCCAACUACGUGCCAGCAGCCGCGGUAAUACGUAGGGUGCGAGCGUUGUCCGGAAUUACUGGGCGUAAAGAGCUCGUAGGCGGUUUGUCGCGUCGUCUGUGAAAUUCUGCAACUCAAUUGCAGGCGUGCAGGCGAUACGGGCAGACUUGAGUACUACAGGGGAGACUGGAAUUCCUGGUGUAGCGGUGAAAUGCGCAGAUAUCAGGAGGAACACCGGUGGCGAAGGCGGGUCUCUGGGUAGUAACUGACGCUGAGGAGCGAAAGCGUGGGUAGCGAACAGGAUUAGAUACCCUGGUAGUCCACGCCGUAAACGGUGGGUACUAGGUGUGGGUUCCUUUUCACGGGAUCCGUGCCGUAGCUAACGCAUUAAGUA